This 869-nucleotide long non-coding RNA is filed under the name Phascolarctos cinereus (koala). RNAcentral describes it as "lncRNA (ENSPCIG00000023509.2)". Lineage: Eukaryota; Metazoa; Chordata; Mammalia; Diprotodontia; Phascolarctidae. The record is from RNAcentral.
CUUCACUGGCUCUGGCCGCAGACCAGGUUUAGGCUCUGCCCCCCACGCUUGGAGCGCAAGAAAUGAAACUAAGCUUGUUUUCAGGAAACUGAAACAGAAGCGGCCAGGUUUUUUUUUUAAGAAUUCUUCUUGCUUCAUUUGAAUACUCCUGCUGACCUCCCAAACCUCCCCAGGCAGGGACUGGGCACUCCCAAUUCCCUCCACAUCUAGUAAGUGCUUAUUGGGGAGGGCUCCAACUGCCUGGGGAGGAAACAGCAAAGUGGGACAGGACCAAAUGCUUUGAUUCUACCUCCUCCCCUGUGACCCCAAACAACUAGCCUUAACCAAUAAGCAGACUGGCAAAUCUCAAAAACAAACUUGGGCGGAGCCCAGGACCGGGGAUUUUUCUCUCGGCUUUACAGGGAAAGGACCCUUGAUUGAGCGGACUCAGAGACCAUUUGAGAAAUCAGCACAUGUAUCUCUGGAUGGAGACACAGCGGAAAAAGCUCCUAGCCGUCUCGGCUUUUCUGUUAGCCGUGAUCCUCAUACUGGCACCCCUCCUGGGGGUUUACUUAUACAGAGCCAACUCAGAAGCCUGUCAGCAGGGCUUGGUGCUACGGCAGGAAAGCCAGCAACUGAAGGAGAAGUUGAGGCAGAGCCAGGAAAGCUUCUUGGAGGUGGAGGCCCAAUGGCGGAGCUGCAGCAAUGUUUCGAGAAAAAAAGAACCCAGAAGAGACAAGUACAGCACUGCCUGGCCCUCAGAUCUACUCUUUACUUCUGAGUCUAGGACUGGCCAUUACCUUGAUUCCCUGAGCAUUCUGAGCAAGGCACUUCCUACCUUUUUGGAGACUUCUAUGCUCUGGUUCCUGGUGUUAUUUCCUGAAGCUUAA